Molecule: ribosomal RNA, 429 nt
Filed under: Gemmatimonadota bacterium
Lineage: Bacteria; Pseudomonadati; Gemmatimonadota
Description: Gemmatimonadetes bacterium partial 16S ribosomal RNA
Rfam family: Bacterial small subunit ribosomal RNA
Source: RNAcentral
UAGGGAAUCUUCGGCAAUGGACGAAAGUCUGACCGAGCAACGCCGCGUGAGUGAAGAAGGUUUUCGGAUCGUAAAACUCUGUUGUUAGAGAAGAACAAGGACGUUAGUAACUGAACGUCCCCUGACGGUAUCUAACCAGAAAGCCACGGCUAACUACGUGCCAGCAGCCGCGGUAAUACGUAGGUGGCAAGCGUUGUCCGGAUUUAUUGGGCGUAAAGCGAGCGCAGGCGGUUUCUUAAGUCUGAUGUGAAAGCCCCCGGCUCAACCGGGGAGGGUCAUUGGAAACUGGGAGACUUGAGUGCAGAAGAGGGGAGUGGAGUUCCAUGUGUAGCGGUGAAAUGCGUAGAUAUAUGGAGGAACACCAGUGGCGAAGGCGGCUCUCUGGUCUGUAACUGACGCUGAGGCUCGAAAGCGUGGGGAGCAAACGGG